Molecule: long non-coding RNA, 32528 nt
Filed under: Theobroma cacao (cacao)
Lineage: Eukaryota; Viridiplantae; Streptophyta; Magnoliopsida; Malvales; Malvaceae
Description: long non-coding RNA (TCAC_LNC003861)
Source: RNAcentral
UAUUCAUCCCUCAAUAUGAGAGGCGCGGAUGGAUAACUCCUGAGGUUAACACUUUAGAGUUCAUUUCAUGCCAAACCACCACGUGAGGGUGAACUCAGCCAACGCCAAGGAACAAAUAUGUUUUCAAAACAGAAACAUGAUUUAUGCAUGCAUAACUUUUUAACAGCCUUGGCGGUCUCGGUUGGGAUAACCCUCGGCCAAGGUGUCCUUGAUAAUUGAGUAUGAAAAUGAUUUUGGCAUGAGGCAAAGUUUUAAGAAAUCCAUAAGCCAUGUUGAUUACUCGAUUUAUAUGAAUUGAUUUUAUUUGCUUGAAAUGAUUUGAAAGGUGAUGAAUUACAGUAUGUUAAACUAUUUUAUCUGUCUCUAUUUAACUUAGCUUUAGAUAUUUUAGAUAGUAUUUUUUUACUCACUGGGAUUAUAUAAUCUCACCACCCUCCUUUCCACCCAUUUCAGUCUCAGGAUAGUCGAUAAAUAGCUCAUUUCGUUGAGGGCUAUAGUUGGACUUGCAUCCUCAAAAACUGUAGGUUUACCGCUUUUGAUACUUUUGGUCGUUUGUGGGCCCACGUGUCACUGUAAAUUAAAUUUUAUACUUUGGUUAUCUGUAUUACAAUAUGUAUGAAUUUAUUUAGCUUUUACGCUAUAAAAAUUAUUUACGUAUAACUCUAAAAAUAUUAUUUUAUAAGAAAAUAGAAUAUUUUAUUGAAUAUUACUUUUAUUUUUUAUUAUAUCCAAAUAAUCAUAAUUUCAUUUUAAAUGAAGGUUUUAGAUGUUUAAACUUAUUUUUGAUUAUGAAUUAUGUGGUUUGUACACGCAUACUACAUUUUUAACGGAUUUCGAGAUUUUUGAGAAAAAUGACCAAAAUGCCCCUAUGAGAAAAAAAUUAUUUUUCUAUUGUUUUGAUUUGGAAAUAGCUUAUAAUCUCUCAAAACAUGAUACUUAACAACUAUUGCUCACAAGGGAGGUGCGAUAACUAAUAUUAAAGCCUUGCGAGGUUCCGGAUGGCAUUUCGAGCGAUGAAUGUCUAUCGGGAUGUCGCGACGGUUGUCACGGGCUCGAGAGGAGUACCGAGUCAUGACAAUUAGAGUGGUAUCAAAGCUUUUGGUUUUAAAGAUUAGAGCUUUUGGGUUUAAAUUUGUUUUAAAAACUACAGUGUCAGUGUGGCCCAAGUUAAGUUAAGUUAAGUUAGGUUUGAUACAAUAGAAUACGUGCAUCUGCAUAUAGAAUUUGGAGUUGUUUAGACUCAUUUUGUUUCUUCUUAUGGAUCUUAUCGGAGCAUAAGUCAUAGACAAGGAGCUAUAUGAACUCUUGUUCCCAGUAAUCCACUUCCUUGUUAAUGUCAUGCAAAGGUCAUAAGUAGGGCCGUUGUCUGGGUUUAAGAUGCCACCCGUGACACGAGCCAAUGUUAGAGAGAUCUUAAAAUGAAUGCUCCUAAUGAAAGAUUAAUGAAAUGAUAUAUCCCUUCGAUAAAGGAUGGAGAAAUUUAGAGUUGGACUAAUAGGCCGUGAUAAUUUAUUCAUUUGGUGGAGUUAUAAUUGAACUCAUGGUUGUCAAUUGGAAAAAGAUUUACGGACUAUGGAUUGUAUUGGGGCCAAUAUAAAGGAGCACGUGUGAUAAUGGUAAUAAGGGGUGCACUUUGAUAAGAAUGAAUAGUGAUGGUUGUAAUUCACUUGGAGUCUAUAAAUUAAGCAUUGAGGUAAGAGUAAACCCUUACUUAUGUGCAUGAAGAUAAAAGCACUAUGUUAAUGGAGCUUGUUAUGCCCAUAUAAAAGUGGUGUUGGGAUUUUGAAAUAUUUUAUAUGUGAAUAUGUGUUGAAUAGGUACAGCAACUUAGAGGGAACUGGUGUUGAUUUCAAUUAAGCGAUUAUGAGAUUUCAAGAAUUGAUUGGACCUAUUAUAGUUCAUGGAUAUAAGCACGUGAGUUAACUCAAGAGUGAGUAUUAAUAAUUACUAUAAUUGAUGUGUGGUCAUGAAGUAAGAAGUUAGUAAACAAAUCUGGUCUAAGGAUGAGCUUGAACUUUGCUAUGCAUAGCAAAAGGGAAGCCAAGGGAUUAAAGGACUAGAUGUGGAAUUGGCAGCUUGAGGAUAAAUGACUUGAAAAUGUCAAAUCUAGUCUAAGUGCCAUAUGAAGUUCUAUAAUUGAGAUUGAUAUACGAAUUACUUGAAAGAUCAAUUUCAAAGUUUAUUAGAUUCAAAGUGUGGCCUAUGAUACGAAUGAUUAGUCUUGAAGGUGAUCUCUCCAGAGUAUGGAAUUUAGAAAAUGUUGAUGUUUGGAUAUACUCUAAGAGAGAGAACUUCUGCAUCCUAAGGUUCGAACAACUUUGAUCUUAUGAUCGCAAAGGCAAGGUGUAAUAACUAAGUAAAUUAUUCACUUAAUAAAUGUGAUUGGUUAUUGAUGAAUAAAGUCAAGAUCUUAACAUUUAGUGGUAUACAAUUUGAUAAUUAUGUAUUUAAGAGUUAUUUGGAGACAAUUCCUUCAUCAAAUUUGCACUAAAUGGUAUGGUAAAGGCAUAUCAAUGUUAAUAUGNNNNNNNNNNNNNNNNNNNNNNNNNNNNNNNNNNNNNNNNNNNNNNNNNNNNNNNNNNNNNNNNNNNNNNNNNNNNNNNNNNNNNNNNNNNNNNNNNNNNNNNNNNNNNNNNNNNNNNNNNNNNNNNNNNNNNNNNNNNNNNNNNNNNNNNNNNNNNNNNNNNNNNNNNNNNNNNNNNNNNNNNNNNNNNNNNNNNNNNNNNNNNNNNNNNNNNNNNNNNNNNNNNNNNNNNNNNNNNNNNNNNNNNNNNNNNNNNNNNNNNNNNNNNNNNNNNNNNNNNNNNNNNNNNNNNNNNNNNNNNNNNNNNNNNNNNNNNNNNNNNNNNNNNNNNNNNNNNNNNNNNNNNNNNNNNNNNNNNNNNNNNNNNNNNNNNNNNNNNNNNNNNNNNNNNNNNNNNNNNNNNNNNNNNNNNNNNNNNNNNNNNNNNNNNNNNNNNNNNNNNNNNNNNNNNNNNNNNNNNNNNNNNNNNNNNNNNNNNNNNNNNNNNNNNNNNNNNNNNNNNNNNNNNNNNNNNNNNNNNNNNNNNNNNNNNNNNNNNNNNNNNNNNNNNNNNNNNNNNNNNNNNNNNNNNNNNNNNNNNNNNNNNNNNNNNNNNNNNNNNNNNNNNNNNNNNNNNNNNNNNNNNNNNNNNNNNNNNNNNNNNNNNNNNNNNNNNNNNNNNNNNNNNNNNNNNNNNNNNNNNNNNNNNNNNNNNNNNNNNNNNNNNNNNNNNNNNNNNNNNNNNNNNNNNNNNNNNNNNNNNNNNNNNNNNNNNNNNNNNNNNNNNNNNNNNNNNNNNNNNNNNNNNNNNNNNNNNNNNNNNNNNNNNNNNNNNNNNNNNUGAAAGCAAGCACUAAGUUAUGUGGUUAUAAAAAGGAAGCUGUAAGCUGAGAGUGAUAUUCAUAUUAACAUUGAAAGGUACUUAAGGAGAAUCUAGUUUCAAGUUUUGCAAUUUCAAGUGCAAUUUAUAAAUUGGCUAAGGGAGAAUGAUGUUUUGUUCAUAUGAAAGAGUGAAACAAAAGAUGAUUGAAGUUGACCUUGAUAAUGAAGUCAGAUAAUGAAACUUUCCUAAUAUAUUAUGGAAAAUUGGAAUUCAAAAAUGCUCGAGGCAUACAUGAUUCAAAUGAGUCUGAGUCUUAAGUGACAAAUCAAUAUCGGAAUGCAAUAAGGAUACAAUAUAUGGAAGAGGCAUGAAAGAUAAUCGAGGAAAAAGGAUGACUCUUUGGAAUUGUGGUAUUGCAUACGAUGCAAUGAUCAAGUUAAGAUAAAUCUUUGAGGCAUCAAUGGAAUUAUAAAGCAUACACGCAUAAUAGAUUAUAAUUCAAUGGAGAUGACAUUAUGAUGCAAUGAUAUAUAGUACAAGGAAACUUAAACAUAUAGUUGGAAAUGAUAAGAAGAGAGUAUAAGUAUGUAAAUGAUGUGGAACUAUGCAUAGGCAUGAUGAGAAUUUGUAUGAAUUAUGAAGAUUAUUCUAUUGAAUUUUGGUUGUGGAUGGGAAUGAACAAAGAGAAAUUAAUCUGAAGGCAUUUGAAAACAGAGACCCGUAUACAUAAUGAGAAAUAUGGACAUUUGAAUGUGUGUGUAUACGUAUGUGUGGAGUUAGUGAUUUACCAAACUAAAAUGAAUAAUGGUUUUGGUGGUUCGAGAUUUAAACUCAAUCUAUUUGAUGAGUUGUAUAGAUAAUGUAGCAAUCAAGAAUCUUAUCAAAAGUUGAUUUAUGGUAACCUAAGGAAUUUUGGGGAAAUAGUUAAGGAAAUGUAAUCUAUAGUGCGAUUAAGCCAUAUGAGAUGGAUUAAUAGGAUUAAGAAGAUUGGAAAUUUUCUAAAUGCAAGAUACACAUGAAGUAUGUGGAAAUAAUUGAAGCCAUUAAUCUUCCCUAACAUUGAGGAUAUGUACAGGAAUGAGUAUGGUGUGUUAAUGAUGCCGUAAACUACACAAUAGUGUAUGAGGAUAGGAUGAAUGAAUGAAAGUCGAGAAGUUUGAUAUGGAAUGAAGUAAUAAGAUAGAGAUUGGUAUACAUAAAUAAGUAUAAAAUGCGUUCGAAAUUGGUAUGAUUGAGAUGGAGUUAUGGUUCAAGUUUAAUGAUAGUAAUAGAAGCAUGUUUGGUGUCUCGAUAUAAAAGAUCAUAAUUGUGAAGGUUACUGUUGAUAUGAUUUUAAAGGAUAAUAAUAGACAUAAGUGAAGUACUCGAGUUAAAUUAGAGGUAAAUAAGGUGAACAAAUCGAAAUUCCCCAUAAAGGGGAGGACAUAAGAAGUCGAGCAUUGGAUGAGAAAAUAAUAUCCCCACAUUUUCUCUGAGUUCAGUAAAUGAAAUUUUGAGGUCAAAAUUUUAUUUUAAGGGGGGUAGUGCUAUCAAGCCUGACUCUACAAUAUGUUUAUUAUGCCAUUCUUACAUAAGAAUGCAUGUUUGCUUACUUGGGUACCUCGAAAAUCGUUAAAGAAUGAUAAUGUACCAAAUGGUACAGUUAAGUUGAAUUAAGCCUCGAACUAGUCCAAAUAGAGAUUUUAAGAUGAAAUUGAGAAUUUUAAAACUCCAUAAUGACUUAAAAUGGUGAUUCGGAGUUCGAGAACCGAUUUGGAGUCAAAUUGAAAUUUUCAUGACUUAGGGGCAAAAUGAUCAUUUUGCCACUCGAGGUUAAAAUUAGAAUGUUGGAAGAAGUUUUUGAUCAAGAUUCACUAUUUAGAACAUAAUUUGAGUUUAAGAAGUGAAAAAUUUUAAUUUCAGCAUUUUUUCGAGCAUAGAGGUAAAAUAGUCAUUUUACCACCCUAGGGGCAAAAUUGUAAUUUUACACCACCCAACACUUAUCCAGCACAUGGAUUUUACCCAAUAUUAUCAUGGAUAAUUGACGAAAUUUAAGUGGUAGAGAGAGAUUGCUUAAUGGCUAAGAAUGACACAUGGACCAAUGGAAUGGUGACAUAUGUCAAAUUUAUCUCCAUUUUUUUUUAGCUUAAAAAUCAGCAUAAAAUCAGCCCAUUUCUCUUCAUAUGGCCGACCAAAGUAGGAACAAAGGAAGAAAAGAAGAACACAAACCUUAGGUGGAAAAAUUCAAGAGAAAAGUGUGAACAUUCAAGUAAUCAAGCAAUCAAAGGUAAAAAUUCUUGAUUUUGACUUGUGAUCUACCUUUCCCAUGCAUUAUUUUGCAUUUUACAUGGUUGAAUCACAUGAUUUCACAAUGGGUAUCUUGCUAGAUGAACACUUAGAGAGAGGUUUUGCUACUUGAUUUGGUUAGAUUUCAAUGUAUUUUAGUAUUUUUAGUUGAUUGGUGAUGUGUAGCAUGAAAAUCAAGCAAGAAAAAUUCAUGUUCUUCCAUCACCCAUCAUUGGCUGAAUUCUCCAUGUGAAAUAUUGAGGAUGAUUUUUAUUUUAUUUCAAGUAAUUUGGUUAGGAAUUAGUGAUUUAUGGUGUGAGAAUCAAGUAGGAAAAAUUAUAAUGUUGAUGCACCCACCAUGGUCGAAAUUUCCAAGAGAAAAUGUGAGGAUGAUUUUGCCAUAUUUCAAGUUAUUUAGUUUGUGUUUGAUGAUUUGGAGUAUUCGGAGAAAAAUGAAAUUAUUUGGAGUUGAAUUGGACGUAUUGGCCAAUUAAUCGGGUGAUAGAUCGAAUUAGGCCAAUAUUGUUUUAUUUAGGUACACAAUUGAAUUUGUGUAGAAAACCGUAUUUAGAUAGUUACCCGAGUAUUUUACAUUCCAUUUCAUGCAUUAGUAAAGAGCCUGAAAUAGAUUUAUAAUGGUAUGACACAAUAUAUUGAAUUAUGUGUCAUGUAUUGUAUAUAGGUGGUGAGCCCUCUAACAAGGGUAAAGACGUUGUGUCACAGGACUGAGAAUAAGAGCAUUUCAAACUCCUGAUACUAUGAGUAACCUUACUAUCGUCUUAAUUAUCUAGAGUAGUUUUUAUCCGAUUUUGUGAUUUUAUGGAAAAUGAGUUUAAAUGGUAAAUCUUUAUGUUUUAUAAGCAAAAUGUGAUUAAAUGAAAAUGAUUUUACAAAUUGUCUUGAAAUUGAAUGAUGGUUUUGAAAAUGGAGUAAUUGGAGACUAAAUUGUUGUGUUAUAAAUCAUGGUUUGAAUUGAAUGGCUUAUGAUAAUAUUGGAAUGAAUGGUUGAUUUAGUAAAUGUGCUGAAAAUGUAUGAAUUGUUGAUUUGCCUUGAGAGGCUGUAAAACAAAAUAAUUGCCAUGUCAUGCUAUUACAAAUUUUAUUGUAUGAUGGGUUUAGUCGCUGCAGUGGACAGGUUCCGUGGACCAGCCUAUUAGAGGGGCACCGGUAACCCUAUUAUAUUCGUACCUCAGUAAGAGAGGCACGGAUGGAUAACUCCUAAGGUUAAUACUAUAGAGUUCACUUCACGCCAAACCACCACGUGAGGGUGAACUCAACCAACGCCAAGGAACGACUAUGUUUUCAAAAUAAAAACAUCAUUUAUGCGUACAUAACUUUUUAACAGCCUUGGCGGUCUCGGUUGGGAUAACCCUCGGCCAAGGUAUCCUUGAUAACUGAGUAUGAAAAUGAUUUUGGCACGAGCCAAAGUUUUAAGAAAUUCAUAAGCCAUGUUGAUUACUUGAUUUAUAUGAAUUGAUUUUAUUUGGUUAGAGUGAGUUGAAAGGUGAUGAAUUACAGUAUGUUAAACUAUUUUAUCUGUUUCCAUUUACUCAGCUUUAGAUAUUUUAUAUGGUAUUUGUUUAGUCACUGGGAUUAUAUAAUCUCACCACCCUCAUUUUCACUCAUUUUAGGCUCAGGAUAGUCGGUAAAUAGCUCAUUUCGUUGAGGGCUACAGUUGGACUUGCAUCCUCAAAAACUGUAGGUUUACUGCUUUUGAUAUUUUUGGUCGUUCGUGGGCCCACGUGUCACUGUAAAUUAAAUUUUAUACUUUGGUUAUCUGUAUUACAGUAUGUAUGAAUUUUUGUAGCUUUUAUGUUACAAAAAUUAUUUACGUAUAACUCUAAAAAUAUUAUUUUAUAAGAAAAUGGAAUAUUUUAUUGAAUAUUUCUUUUAUUUUUUAUUAUAUCCAAAUAAUCAUAAAUUCAUUUUAAAUGAAGGUUUUAGAUGUUUAAACUUAUUUUUGAUUAUGAAUUAUGUGUUUUGUACUCGUAUACUACAUUUUUACCUAAUUUCGAGAUUUUUGAGGAAAAAUGACCAAAAUGCCCUAGUGAGAAAAAGAUUAUUUUUCUAUUGUUUUGAUUUGGAAAUAGUUUAUAAUCUCUCAAAACAUGAUACUUAACAACUGUUGCUCACAAGGGAGGUGCGAUAACUGAUAUUAAAGCCUUGCGAGGUUCCGGUUGGCAUUUCGGACGAUGAAUGUUUAUCGGGACGUCGCGACUGUUGUCACGGGCUCGAGGGGAGUACCGGGUCGUGACUGGACCAAAGCUGGAAAAAUUAGAUUUCUUGGUUAUUAGUUGAUUAAAUUGAAAAUCAAUCAGUCAAAAAGUUUAAUCUUACCUUUAGAGGCGUUUCCCAAGCUCCAAUUUACUCCAAAUGGCUCCAAAAAUCAAUUUGGGGCUUGGGUUUUUGGAGUGGUAGAGAGAGUUAGGGUUUGUUUUAAAAUGGGUGGACGGCUUAAAACUCUUUUUAUUUUUGCUUUUCCACAAUGAUGCAUCGAUACGUUUAGGAAUGUAUCAUUACAAUUACAUGGGUUUUAACCAAAUCUAUCAAUACAUUGGUAAUAUAUCAAUAGAUUUUAGGGAAAAUUCUCACUAUCGUAAAUGUAUUGAUACAUGUGGGGAAUCUAUCGAUACUUUUCCCUCUGGAUGCUCUCUACUUCAAAUCUAUCGAUAUUUUCCCUUGUAUGCAAAUUUUCAACCUUCCCAACUUCCAAAAAUCCAAAUCUAACAAUUCAAAUCAUUACCUUGCUUAAUUUUCACCUCAAGUCAUUCAUUUAGCUUAAAUCCAUAUAUAUAUAUCCUCAAACAUAACAUCAAAUACAAAUCAAAACUUCAAACCAUAGGAUUUAUCACACUUUCAUAAAAAUUUGCCUAGGUGUCAAAUGCAUACUCCCAUACACUUGGCAUGCUUAACAUAUCACAAAGUCCUCAAAGCACAAUAUAUUUCAUAAAUCAUUCUCAAUUGACUUAGUUCAUAUUCAAAAUCAAGGGUGUUACAAUUUUAACCAAAACACUAUAUCUCUAAAUGAAUUAAAAUUAAAACAGAUUCAUUAAGUUCAGGCUCUAAUAUAGGUAUAUCUCUAUCCUAUACAUAAAUCAAUUUCUUCAUCCAAGCAAAUAAAUAUGAUCAUAUGCUAUUCCAAUUUUUAGCCUACUCUAAACUCCAUUUUCUCAAGUUAUUUUAGGUUUCUAGAUCAAUUUAAUUUGUGGUCAAAUAAUUAAAAGCAUUAAGAAGAAAUUAAAAUAAACAAUCUAAUUACAUAUAAAAUAAGUAAGAAAGAAAUCAAAAAUUUAAAUUACAUGUGAGUUCAAUUGUAAUCCUAGAAAAAGAAAUUUAGGUACUCAUAAUUGCAAAAAUAAAUUAAAACAUAUGAAAUUUAGCCAUUUAAAGUAACAAAAAUAAUAAAAGCUAAGGAAGAAGAAAAACAAAUUUUGGCAGCUUUAAUCUUCAAUCUUCAACCUCCAUUUCUAUUUUCUUGAAUCUCUCUUAGGAUUGUCUUCUUAUAGCUAACUUAUCUGCAAACUCUCUUUAAAUACUCAUGACUUCACCUAAUUUUCCUUAAUCGAGCCUAAUUGGCUCUUAAUAUGGGCUUAAAAUCAGAGUAAAAUGCAUAAAACUUUAAUUAGCUUUAAACCUUUUUCUUUUCCACACUAAUUCUUGAAAUUUCCCUUCUUGACACAGCGACACAACCCAUUGACAUCGUGGCGCUCAAUUGGCUUCUUGCCUUCUCUUGUUGACUGCUACACUCUAUCAACUUCCAAUGUGAUUUUCUCCAUCCUCAUGGCAGAACUGGGCAAAGUGAUCUGCCUAAACGUUUUAGCUUUGUCUCUUAGAUUUCCAAUGGUCCAAGAGUCGCAUCAUUUGGAAAUCUGAAGCGGAGGUUAUGCUCAAAAUAUUGCAACAUGUACAAACAGGACCUUGGCUCUUUAAACAAAUUUUCAUCACCAAUUUAAGCCCUUAUUCCUUUAAGAUCCUACAAAAACAUAAAAACUAAUAAUUAAUAAUAAAACUAAAGUAAAAACAUAAACAUAGCAUAAAAGAAAACUUAAUAAAAGUAAACUAAUUAGAAAAAUAACUAAAACUUAAUCUAAACUCAAAACUUAGCUAACUUUUAUAAACGAAAUGAGACUAAAUAAUUCUAUAAAAAUAAAAUUAUCAUUCGACACAUUGUGGAGUGUAAGGACACUAGAAGAUUAGAAGGAAGGCUCUACCACACCUACCAUGAAUAAGAUGGGAUACUACUCCACAAGUCACCUAGCCAAGCAAGCUACUGAUUUGUAAAAUAAGAUAAGAAAAAAUAACGGGUGUGUCUCAAAAACUCUGUGAGUGGAUAUGAGAAGGGGACAAACCAAAAAGGAGAGUUUUUGCAAUAAACCAUACUUUGCAAAAACACAUGAUAAUCAUAUAAAUUCUUUCAAUGACAUAAAUCUCAUUUUUACAUUUCCAUAAAUGCUUUUGAAACUCAAAUUGCGUAAAAAGGCAAUAACAUAUAAAGCUCAACUUAUAAAACAUUUGUAAAGAGAAAUCGGAAAGGAGUUGUCGGACUCACGUGUUCAACAUCAUUCAUUCAUAACAUGAAUGUAUCAUCCAAUAAUGAUCCAUGUCAUCAUCUCCACAUAAACACAGUAAUCAUCAAGUCACCAAUAAUAGGUGUCAAUACAUACUAUUAACAAAGGCAAAGGGAGAAAGGGUAUUUUGGCCUAAUUCAUCCCUUGUGGUAUUCUUACCCCCACAUUAGGCUUAAAAAGGGAAAAAGUGGGAUGUUCGCCCAACUUGGCCCUAUCAUAUUUUUACCCCCACAUUGGGAUUCAUAAAGAGAAAAGAUGACACUUCACCAAUCUUGACUUUGUGGUAUUCUUACACCCACAUCGGGCUUUUAGAAGAAAAAGAGAUGGUACAUUCAUCAAUCUUGACUUUUUCAUAUUCUUACCCUCACACCGGGUUUUUAUAAAUGGAAGAAAUGGUAUGUUCACCAAGCUUUACCGUGUGGUAUUCUUACCCCUACACCGAGCUUAAAUAAAUGUAUCACACAAUUAAAUUUCAUACAAGAUCAAGGAUCAAAUAGCAAAUUAUGUCGUUUACAUAAAUCUUGAAAUAUAGGAAACCUACUCAUCCACAUUCACAUUUCUCACAUUUUAUGGGUAUUUUAUCAUCCACAUUCACUUUCUCAAAGAGAUGUUUCAUUACCCACACUAGCCCAUAGGUCAAAGUAAUUGAGGAACUUUUGAACAAAAUCAUUUUAAAGGGUUUCUCCCACCUUGUUGAAAACUAAUAUGUAAUAGAGAUAUUUACUUACAUUAUGGAUUUGAAAACCUCGUCAAAAUCAUUUAUGCAUAACCAAUCAAAUUUAUCGAUUUCAUCAUAGCAUUCAAAUUAUGCAAUAAACACCAGUCGAUAAAUCAUGCUAACUUCACCAUAAAACAUACUUAAAAAUGUGCACCCACUUACCUUUGAAAAGUCGGUUUCUACCAACAUGUGAAUCUCUGAUCUAGCAAAAUUCUUGGUGUUGCAACCAUUCCAAAACAUCCAUCAAUUAUUGUAAUCAAUAUUUAGUCUAGGAAUCACAUAAUAAUUGUUCUAGCCUAUUUCAAAACUAUUCAGGUUCACUUAAAACUAAUUUUCUAGAUUAAAUCUUUUGCUCUUCAAGUACCCAUGUAUUUAAAUCUAUAAAUUCAUCAUCCUUACCUUAGGUGAGCUCUAGACAAAAGAGAAACCCACCUAAAUCCUUUAUUUUGAAGGAAUCAAUAAAUUUAGAGAAACCAAUAGUAUUGUUCAAAGCUAAAAAGUCCAAGAUUUAAAGAUUCCAGAACAAAAAAGUCAAUUUUUCUUUUAAAAUGUAAAAGCAAGCUCAAAUCUUCUAAAAAGGGUGAUUUGGGUAGAAAAUGAGGUGAGAGAGUAUUAAGGUUGAGAAAAUACCUUUCAAAAUUGAUUGAGAGCUAUAACCCCUCAUAAAAUGUGAUAUAUUUAUAGUUUAGGGUAUGAACAUACAUUUUUACCCCUUUUAUUUUUAAAAAAUCGAUGUCAUCUAUUAAUAGAUGUGGCCAUCUAUCAAUACAUGAGCUACAGGUUUCUUUUAAAAAGCUUUCAGGUUGUUUCCUAUUAAUAGAUGUGUUCUUUCUAUCAAUAGAUAUGUCAAUCUAUCGAUAGAUGAUGAACAUCUAUCGAUAAAUGUUCUUCAAUUUUUUUUCAAAACAUUUCUAGUUUAUAUCCAUCAAUAGAUGAAGAACAUCUUUAGAUAGAUAGGUUCCGAUAAGCAAAAAUAGACUUAAAAAGUUGUCCAUUUGGAUUUCUUUUCACACUAAACAUUGUAAAUUACCUUCAUGCAUCAAAUCAAGAAUCUUUCCCAGCAUAAAACUUAGUUUAAAUGUUCCAAAAUUGGUCAUUUAGUUGCUCACCUAAGGAUUCCUUAACUUAGCAUCACACAUCAAGGUAGGAUUUCACUUAUGAAUACAAUGUUGCAAUAGGUAGAUGGAAGAAGAAAACAAGGUAGCCAAGAACACCAUCUUCACAGAAGAAAAUAGAAGCACUAACAACACCAUCUUCACCAAUCAUAGUGUCACGACUCGACACUCUCCUCGAGCCUGUGACAACCGCCGCGAUAUCCCGAUAGACAUUCAUUACCCGAAAUGCCAACCGAAACCUCGCAAGGCUUUAAUAUCAGUUUUUUCACCUCCCCUGAGAGCAACAGUUGCUAAUAUCAUAUUUUAGAAGAUUAUAAGCUAUUUCCAAACCAAAACAAUAAAAAAAAUAUUUUUCGUCUCACAGGGGUAUUUUGGUCAUUUUUUCUCAAAAAAUUCGAAACCAUCUAAAAAUGUAGUAUAUGAGUGAAAGAUACAUAUUUCAUAACCAAAAAUAAGUUUAGAUGUCUAAAACAUUCAUUUAAAGUGAAAUGAUAUCUAUUAGAAUAAAUAAAAAUGUUAAAUAAAAUAUUCCAUUUUCUUAUGAAACAAUAUUUAUAGAGAUAUCCAUAAAUAAUUUUUGUAGCGUAAAAAAAAAUAAAUUCGUACAUAUAGUAACACAAUGAGCCAGAGUUUGUAAUUUAAUUUACAAUGACAUGUGGGUCCCCCCCGAAUGACCAAAAGUAUCAAAGCCUGUGAACCUAUGUUUUUUGAGAAUGCAAAUCCAACUGUAGCCCUCGACGAAAUCAGCUAUCUACAGACUAUCCUGAGCUUGAAAUGGGUGGAAAGGAGGGUGGUGAAUUUAUAUAAACUCAGUGAGUAAACAAACAUCAUCUAAAAUAUAUAAAGUCGAGUAAAUUGAGACAACUUAAAAUAGUUCAUCGUACUAUGAUUCAUAACGUUUCAAACUCAUUUCAACUAAAUAAAAUAAUUUCAUUUCACUCAAAUAAUCAACAUGGCUUAUGAAUUUCUUAAAAAUUUGGCUCGUGCCAAAACUUAUUCUCAGGGAUACCUUAGCCGGGGCAUCCAACCGAGUCCGCCAAGGCUGUUUAAGAAAAGUUCAUAUAUGCAUAAAACUCAUUUUUACGUUUAAAAGCAUAGUCGUUCCUUGGCGUUGGCUGAGUUCACUCCCACUUGGUGGUUUAACGUGUAGUGAACUCUAAAGCUUUACCUCAAGAGUUACCCUCCGCGCCUCUCGUAUCGAGAUAAAAUAUAGCAGGGUUUACCAUGCCCAUCUAUUAGGCUGGUCCACAGAAACCCACCCAUUGCAGUAAGCUAAUCAAUAUCCCACCAAAUCAAUAAAAGUUUCGACAGCAUGACAUGGCAAUUAUAUUACUACCCAGCCUGUUAAGGCAAAACAAACAGUUCAUACAAUUUCAACACAAUUUCCAAUUCAGCCAUUCAUGCCAAUAUCACCAUAAGCCAUUCAAUUCAAACCAUAAAUUUACAACACAAUCAAACAGUCUCCAAUUACUCAAUUUCUAAAAUCAUCAUUCAAUUUCAAAAUGAUUUAUAAAACUCAUUUCAUUUAAUCACAUUUUACUUAUAAAACAUAAGGAUUUACCAUUUAAACUCAUUUUUCUAUAAAAUCACAAAAAUGAAUAAAAACUACUUUAGAUAAUUAAGACGAUAAUAAGGUUACUCACGAUAUCGGGAGUUUGAAAUACACCUAUUCUUGGUCCUCUGGCACAAUGUCUUUACCCUUGUUAGAAGACUCACCACCUAUACACAAUACACGACAAAUAAUUCAAUAUAUUGUGUCAUGUCAUUAUAAAUCUAUUUCAGGCUCUAUAUGAAUGCAUGAGAUUGUUUGGAUAGACACUUAAAGACGGUGUUACACAUUGGUUCAAUUGUGAUCAGAAUGCAUCGAUUUUCGACCUAAUUCGAACUCUCCACAUUUGAUUUAACCAAAACAUCCAAAUUGACUCCAAUUAUAUUCAUCACACUUCCAAUGUCCCAAAAUACACCAAAGCGCCUCAAUGAGCUUGACUUUCUCAUUGUUAUUCAACUUAUUUACUAAAAGAACUAUACUUUAAAAUUACCAUUUUCGAUUUCCAUCACCACCAUUCAUUAAAUUCUAACUAAAUAACACAAGAUAUCACAAGAAUCAUCAUCACUAGGUUCCUUAUGAAAUUCGGCCAUGGUGGGUGCAUAAACACUGUGGUUUUUCAUACUUGAUUUUUUUUAUACCAUAAAUCAUUAGUUCCUAACCAAAUCACUUGAAAUAAAAUCAAAUCCACCAUCAACAUACCAUAAGGAAGAUUCGGCCAAUGAGGGUGAUGGAAGAACAUGAUUUUUUCUUGUUUGCUUUUCAUGCUACACAUCACCAACCAACUAAAAACACUAGAAUAACAUGUUUUCCAACUAAAUUCAUCAUCAAAUCUUCUCCCCCUAGGUUCGGCCAACAAGGGAUCCAUCAUGAAAUCAUGAAUUUCAACCAUGGAAAAUGAGAAAGAAUGCUUAGGAAAGAUAGAUCUCAAGCUAAAAUUGAAAAAUCUUACCUUUUGUCACUUGAUUCCUUGAAAUUCCAAAAUUUUCUCUUGAAUUUUCUAACUAGGGUUUUGUUCUUUCUUUCUUUCCUCUUUUCCUUGGUGAGGCCGAACAUAUGGGAGUGAAAUGGGAGAGUCAUGUGCUGAUUUUUAAUGUAAAUUAUAAAGAAAUGAAAGCUUGCCACUUGUCACCAUUCCAUUGGUCCAUGUUUAACAUUUAACAACUAAGCUUUCUUUCACCACCACAUAAAAUAUCUCAAUUAUCCAUAAUAUAAAAUGUUAAUGGAUGAAAUCCUUAGGCAUGACAAGUGUUGGGUGGUGUAAAAUUCCAAUUUUGCCCUUGGGUGGCAAAAUGACCAUUUUACCCCUACGUCAUGAAAAUUUCAAUUUGACUCCAAAUCAAUCCUCAAACUCUGAAUCACCGUAUUAAGUCAUUUUGUGCUUUUAAAAUUUUCAAUUUCAUCUUAAAAUCUCUAUUUGAACUAGUUCGAAGCUUAAUUCAGCUUAGUUAUACCACUAGGUUUACUACUGACUUUUAACGAUUUUUUGAGGCUUUCCAAGUAUGCAAACAUAUUAUCAAGCACAUGAAUAACAUGAAAAAUAUUUUAUAAGGUUGGGCUUGACACAUAGCACCACCUCCAUCAUCAUCGGUUGAUCCACCCUUAGCUACCCAAAGUUCAUCUAGCUUGCCAAGCACCAUGUACAUGGGAAAAGGUGUUUAUCAAUACGUAAAUGGUCGGGUGGAUAAUCAAAGCAAAUUGGUUGAAGAAAGUUUUACUACAAUUGAGAAAAAGCUUGAAGAAGUAAGAACUAUAUAUGCUCUAAAAUAUCAAGACUUGUUUUAUUGUUGCUGCCAAUCAAUUGACAAAAUGAAUGCCACCAUCCUUAAGCCUAAACAGACAAUGGUACAACUUACAAACAAUCGAAGGGGCUUACCUCAUAACUAAGAGAUCUUACAUGACAAAAUAGACACCUUCUUCAUCCAUCAUAAACCUUGAAAACAUUGCUAACAGUUUUAAAAGCUCUUAUUAAUAUUCAUAGUAUUUGCAUGCAUACUCAUAAUAUCUUUUGUAUUUACUUUGUAUACUACUAUGUUCUUGUAUAUAUGGUUUAAUCCUCAAUGAAAUCUAUCUUUUGCUUUUGUACAUGUGUCAAUUCUUAUUGUGCUAAAUGCUUGAAUACGUGUGCUACUAAUCUUCUUGUGAUUUCUCUUAAGCUUUAAAAUUGUUUUAUACUUUAUUUUCCUAUCUUUUUUAUAUAACAAAAAGGGGAAGAAUAUUUAGAGUAUAUUUUCCAAGCUUUCCUUGUUUGAAAUGGCUGGAUUUAUUUGAAUUUUUUUUCUAAUUUUUUAGGGGUAUGCAUAAAUUCAAGGGGAGUUCUUCAAAAGCAAAUUUAGAUAUUAAUUUUGUCAUAUCAAAAAGGGGGAGAUUGUUAACUUUAAAAUUAAGCCUAGUUUUGAAAUGACAAAAUUGAAUGAUCUAAAUAUACUUUAAAACUAAGUAAAAAUGAUUUUGAACUUGAAAAACAAUCCUCAAAGUAUUUUGAAGUUGAUUGCAAAAAGAAAAAUUUGUUUGAAUAGUUUUUAUUUCAGGUUCCAACUAUUAGAAUCAACUUCUAAAAGUGAAGCAUUGAUUCUUUGGAAAACAAAAGUAAUAUUUUUACUCUGGGAUAGGAAGAAUUGAUUUCAUUGGAAAGGAAACAUUGAUUCUUGAAGAUACAGAAGCUACUAGAACAAAAAGAAUUGAUAUCUAAAUAAGUAAAGAUCGAUUCCUGAUAAAGCAAAAGCGAUAUGACUAACCACUAGAAGAGCAAGAAUUGACUUCUCAAGCAUUAAAUGAUCGACUCACAAAGUUGCAAAGACAAAACUAAAAAAUUUGUUGAAAAAUAAAAGAUGGAGAAUAGGACAAGAAUGGAGCAGGGAAAAGGCAAAUUUGAUUUUUCAUUUUUGGCACCCAAUUGAUGAGAACAAUGGAUGUCUCAAAGAAGUAGUGAUCAAUUCUCAUAAAAUAGAAAGCUCCGGACUUGAAGUGAGACAAGAAGAAUCGACUACUCAAUAAUGCAAUGAUCCAUUCUUGGCAAACAAAAAGCUCCAAACUCAAUUUGAGGCAAGAAAAAUCGAUAUUACAAGAGUAUAAAGGUUGAUUCUGAAGAAACAAAAAGGAUCAGGUUGUGAAAGAAUCAAUGCCUCACGUGUCCAUUAAUCGAUUCUUGAAGUUUGACUCGCACAAUUCAAGUGGUCCCAAUGUUUAAAAAAAUGGCAAAUUUCAUUCAAACGAGCAAAAGUUCAAAGGCACUAUAAGUACCUUCCUAGACGACAUCGUUUGUGAGAGAAAACACUUAAGCAACAAGAAAAGUGAAAGAGAAAAUCAUUCCAAGAAAGAAAAAAGCUAAGAUUUUUAAAGUUCACAUCUCCUCUCUUUAUUGAAAUUCUCAAAACAAAGCCUCCAUAUUUGAGCUUACAUUCUUUGAAAGAUCUUCAUUUUCUUAUGCUUAACUUAGUUCACCAGCCUCUUGAGGCAUCAAGCCUUGUAAACCGUAAAGAAUCUACUGUUAUAAAGUUAUACCUCCAUAGCAAAGGUAGAAAAGUUAUACCUUCUUUGGAAAAGGUAGUGAGUGGUUAUACCUCCAUUUAAAAGGUACUAUGGUUAUACCUCCCUUAAAAAAGGUAAUGAAUAGUUAUACAUUCAUUGGAAAAAGUAGAAAGGUUAUACCUCCAUAGAAAAGGUAGAAAGGUUAUGCUUGAUCCAUAAGAGGCAAUGAUUUGUAAAGGUUAUGCUUGAUCAUUAAAAGGUAAUUAUUUGUAAAAGUCAUGCUUGAACCUAAUUUAAAAGGUAGUAUUUAUUGGAUUCAAACUGCUUGUUUUCUCAAGGGACGUAGGCUUUGAGGGUCGAACCACUAUGAAAAUCAUGGAUGUGUAUCUUCUUCUUCUUUAUCCUCUUUACUUGCUCCAUACAUUAUUUUUAUAAGCUUUCACACUCUAGUUUUCAAACUUUCUAUUUAAAGUGUUAAUCUUUAACUUGAUUCUUAAGAAAGAUCAAAUUUUUAUUUUGAAAACCAAUUCGCCCAUUUUUAGUUAAUUUAUCUUAAGCUUCUUUAUAUAACACAAAAACACACACUCUCUCAUUCUCUGCAUUCUUGAGGCACCAUCAACAAGGCCUAAGGGUUUUAGAACUUGUAAUUUAAUGUGGAGAGUUCUAGUAAUCGUUCCAUAAAUAUAUAGAAACUAGAGAGAUUUAAAAAAUGGAAGGAAUUUAUCUUUUUAGUCCCUUGAUCUUUUUUUUUUUCUAGAUUUCAUUUUUUCCUAAAAGAGAAGCUUUGAAUUUCGACAUGAAUAACUCAAAAUAAAAUUUGAAAGAAAAACAUGAAAUACUUUCCAUAUCCAUGGACAAUGAGGGCAACAAUUUUAAUCUUGAUGGAACUCUUGAAUUUCAUAUUACUCAAUCUUAAUAUAAUGAAUUAGAUGUAUAAACCUUGCUAUGGUCAGACAUCUCUAUUUGUCUUUUGAUGUUUUUAAAAGGAUAUUUUGGGCUUUUCGCAUCACUUUUCUUUUUGUUUUCUAUUCUUCAAUUUUAUUGACCCUGUUUCCUCGCAAAAAUACAGUGAACUCAGAGUUUAACUCAAUAAACCUAGUUCUAGUUACAAUCUAGAUUAAAUGUUCAAGCCUUACCCAAAAGGUGAGUAGUUUUUGUUUGAUUUAUGAGAAAUUGGAAAAAAAUGAAUGAAUAGAAAAUUUUAGGUUUUGUGAUUCAUUUAAUUGCUAAGUAAGGAUGGCUCCAUUGGAAGUUUAUUGAUUGGGGUUUGGAUAUGGUUGUUAACCUCAUUUGUUUGCUUUUUCUAAGAGAAAUUUGCAAGCUUGGACUUAGAGAUUUUUUCAUCACCUCAUGAUGUUAGUUUAGAACAUUCACAUUUUUCCAUCUUUGUUCUGCUUCUUUAAUUCCUUUCACCUUUCGUAAAAAUAGAAAAUUUCUCUUUUUCUUAUAUUUUUAGUCAUCUAUAGGUUUGUGUAGACUUGGCAAUUCAUGUUAACGUGUCGUAAACGUGUCAGACAUGAUUAGACACGAAACACACUAAGGCUAAACACGAACACAACACGUUUAAUAUUCAUGUCUUAAAUUUAAAACACGUACACGUACACAUUUAAUACAUGUGUAACACUACACGACACGAUUAACAUGUUUAUUAAACGUGUCAGUAUAUAAAACGACACGAUUAAUAACACAUUUAACAUGUUUAACACGAUUAAAUAAAAAUAUUUAUAAUUAAAUAUAAUUUUAUUAUUUAAUUUUAAAAUCUAUAAUUAUAAAAAUAAUUAUAAUAAAACAAAAAUAAUAAUAACAUCAAAUAAUCACCAAAAGUUAAAAAUUAGGGUUGAGCAUGUAUAAUUACAUUAUACCCUUUAUAAAAUUAAAAAAACUUAUUAAAAUAAUUAUUUAAAAUUAUUUAUAUAAGGUUAAAAUAGUUUUUAACUAUUAAUUUUUAAUAGGUUAAUAAAUAUGUCACGUAUACACGUUUAAACACGAUAACACGAUUAAACAUGAUAACACGAUUAAGUAAACGUAUUUAAACGUGUUUUAAACGCAUUUGUCGUGUUAGACAUGUUAAGACACGAAUAACGUGUCAAACAUGAUUAGACACGAAACACGUUAAGGCUAAACCCAAAACCUAUUUAACCCUUGUCUUCUCGUGUCGUGUUAACGUGUCGUGUUCAAAAUUGUCAGGUCUAGGUUUGUGAAUGAUGAGAAUAAUUAGAAAAUUUUGGGUUUUUCUUUCUUCGAUGUUACAUUUGGUACUUAAUUUUCUAAUUGUUAUGCUUAUAAAACUAUUUUAUAUAUUGUGUCUGUUGUGCACCUUUAUUAUUCAAUAAUGGGAGUCCAUUAGAAAAAAUGAUGGGAUUAUAAUCUAUAAAUUUGACAUAUUUUUCCAAUAACCAUAAGCAAGUAUGUUGCUUAUGUAAUUUUGGUGGUUCUUCAUUCUAUGAAUUAGUGCAGGGUCUUGACUAAUUGUUGUUAAUUAUGUUUAGUUGUGGUUGCAACGUAUCAUUUGUUUGUGAUUAACUUUUGUUCAGUUCUUGGUAGCCCUUAAAGUGCGUUACCCUUAAUAGAUAACUAUUCUGAGGGGAAAUCAUGAGAGCUAUCAAGUAUGCUAUGUAUCUAAAUGAUUGCUCAUUAUAUAUACUUAAGCCAUCAACAUUUCUCAUAAGAGCUUAUUAAGUGGGAAUGAAUUCUUAAUGUUCUUUCCAUAAGCUAGAGUCGGCCUACACGUUUGCUAUCAUCUAUGAUUUGUCUUUUUCUUACUUUUUAUUUUGUCUAUUCUCAUUAUGUUUGUAACGACCCUUCCUCGGUCGCUACCGACGUCCGAGACUUCCGAAAUAUCCGAUCAAGUCCCGAACAAGCCUUAAUGAAAUUUCUCAAUAACUCAUUGUACACUUUUACUAAACCAUAUUAAUGUUUAAACCAUAUAUAUUCAUAAUGUGAAUUCAACAACAAGCAUAGCCAUUAAAAUUUGACUUUAAGUCAUUAUAUCACAAUACAUUGAGUUCAAAAAUCUCAAAUUUUCGUUUAUAUCAAAACUAAUAUUUGUUUACAUAGUAAAACCAAGUACUAUAACUCAAACUCUAAUAGCAGAGCGACUCAAGAUAAAAUGCUAUGAGAUGCCUUUACCUAUUUGCGAUGGACCGUACGCGCUAACGAUUACACGCUAGACCAAUCCCUGUCUGCAAAAAAGGGAAAAAGAGGGGUGUGAGUCUCACAAACUCAGUGAUCAUCGGCUCCAUGAGUAGGGCGUAGAUGGGAAAGAAGCAAAUAGCAGAUCAGUUGAAUAUUAAAAUGCAGGAUUAUAAAACCAAUUUAUUUCAAACGGGAGUUUGUGCCUUAUAUGAAAAACCGAGGAUUUCUUACGUAGUGUAACCACUUCAAUUGGUAAAUCAACCAAGGUAGAUAAAAAUUUUUGCUACAAAACAGAUCAAUAACCUUAUUCAAGUUAAUCAUUUGAAAUAUUGAAUUAAAACAAUUUUACAUAAAGAAAAUUCCGCCAUCAAGAUCAAUUUACAUUUUACUCCAAUCAAAUCAAUAUAUUCGGCAAGCUCCCAUGAAAUCGAAUGUUAAUCAAACUCAUACAUAAAUCAAAAAUCACCUCGCACUCAAAGAGUUAAAAUUCAUUUCACUGUAAAAAUAAGAGGAGCUGCAGAAAAACCUUUAAAUUUCGUUUUCACCAUGCAAAGAAAUAUGAGUUUGUAAACCCAGAAAUGCCAUUUUCGAGUAGGGAAUGAAAGUAAACCCGUUGUCCCGCUACCACUAAUAACAUCUAGGAGCAUCACUUCCACUGAAUUCCCAUGUGCCAUGGCAGUCUCACGAUCUUGGCCGACAUCAGAGAAUUAAGCGGUCGCAACCGUGUAAUCAUUUGGUGGCCUAGCCACGCAUACAUCUAUCAUAGGCCGUGGCCCCAACCACGUCUAAUCAUCCGUCGAUGACCCAAUGGUUCUCUAGCUAGAGCUCACUUGUGCAAGAGGGUCACAUUUAACCGAUGUGACAUCCGACCUACUCUCGACGCUCUCGGUUUGUAAAACCAUUUUGUAAUGGUUUUAUGUCUUUAAAAGCUCGUCUCAAAAUUAUUUCUAAAGCAUUCAACACAGGGUAUGAUAAAAUCUAUCAUUUUCUCAAAAUAUUUUUAUGCAUGGAUUUCAAAACGUUAAUUUGCAUGGUGAAUAAGCAAUAUAACCGUGAACGCACACUGCACAAAUAUAAGGCACGAAUUUUAAUAUAAAACAGUGUGAAGGGCUUGCUUCCUGAUUUUUGAAACACUUUACAUAUAAUUUAUACAUGUAUAUAUAUAUUCAAAACAAUUUUUCAAAUCAUUUGCAUUCACAAUUCUCUAAAAUGUCUACCAGCACAUGCUAUCCACAAAUUUUCGUGUUUAAAAUAAAUCAUACUUAUAGAUAUAUAUUUACGAAAAUUUUAAAAUUGGUACCCCCUACUCACCUCAUAAUAACGGGAUUACUACAUCGCUAUUGAUUCAUACGCGUGUAUAAUUAUUCCUGUUUGCCAGUCACAUACUUCGUUCGGCACGCUUCCAUAAGAAACUUUCCUAACAACAAUUUAAACCCAAUACACUUAGUACAUCAAUUCCACUUCUCUCUCUCAUUCUAUCAUAAAUCCACAUUAUUUCUCCUCAUUUCUUCCAAAUAUUUUACCAUUCAACUUAACACUCUCAACCAAAUUAUGCAUAUAAAUUCCUCCAACAACAAUAAUUCUUCACAACGAAUCAUUUAAAAUUUCUUAACUUCAUUUUAGCAUUAUUCGUAAAUUUCAUAUUUUCAUCUUUACUUUAGUCCUAUGACACCUCCUAAUAAAAUUUUUAAAUAAUGUAUUAAAGUAAUUUAAAUUUAAUUCAUAUCACUAAUAACCAAAAUUUAAUUAAACAAGUGGCUAGCUUAGAAUAAUCCAACUUCAUAAUAGGCCAAAUAAAAGCAAAGAAAAUUUUUCUUGACCUAUUUGGACUAAGUUAGUCCAAGUCCAUUUUUUUCACCUUUAUUCUCUCUUGGGCUUUUCCUCCUUUAUGGCUAUUGGGCCCUUUUUAUGGGCUCUCCCCAAUUUCUUCCUAUUGGGCCAUGCCCAUUCUUUUUUUCUUUUUUUUUCUUUUCUUUCUUCUUCCUCUUCUCCUUCCGUCUGCCUUCUUUCUCUUCUUUCCUUUCCUUUCUUCUUUCUCUCCUCCCAUCGACCUUUCUUCUCUCUCAUUUCCUUUCCUUUCCUUUCUUCUUUCCCUUCUCCUCUCGUCGGCCUUCCGUCUCUCUCCUUUCCUUUCCUUUCUUCUUUCUCUCCUCUUGUCAGCCUUUGGUUGAAUUUUUCUGCUCUCUUUCUCCCUCACAGCCAACUUCAUUCUCCUCUCUCUCUCUCUCACCACUCGUCACCCUCAUUUUCUUCUCUUCUUUUUUUUUUCUUUCUUUCUUCUUCUUUUUCUUCUUCUCUCUUCUUCUUCUUUCUUUUUUUCUUUUUUUUUGGCCGACACCCUCCAGAUUUUUCCUUUUUUUUUCUCUCUCCUCACCAUCUUUUUUAUUUCUCUCUACUUUCCUUCUUUUUCUCAUUCUUUGUCGGCCCCACCAUCAUCAUUUCUCAUCUUUUUUUAUACUAUUAUAUAUAUAUAUUUUAUAUUCAUUUACUAUUAUUAUUAUUUCUUUUAUUAAUUAUUUAUUUUACUUCCUCAAAACAAUAAAAUUUACAUACUAAUUUUCAACUUCCUUGUAUUUGCUACACAAUCUUCAAGUUUUUCAUAUUUUAAAAUUGGUUCUUCCGACACGUGUAAAAAUUAUAAUUUCUUUGUAUCUUCCUUCUCUUACACGUGUACAACUAAAACAUCGAAGUUAUUUUUCAACGCGAUAUCACCGUAAUAUUUAAAUAUUGACUUACCUGCGUUAGCUCUAUUUAAUAAAAUCACGCAGUUUCACUUACGUCAUUUAUCUCUAAAAUUCAUUCAUACUUUUUCUCCCCCACUUACAUUAGUUAUAUAAUCCUUCUUCAGACUGAUUCCCAUAAUUAAUAAAAUAUUAAUAUUUUAAUAUUAUUUUAUUCAUAAAAUAAUAUUUUAUUUUAAAAUAUUUUUCUCACCUGUAACCGCUUUUUGACACUUAGAUUUACAUCAAAUGACCUUUCGUACUAUCGAUAAGGUCUUAUUGACUGCUGAACGAGGUCACGGGGUGUUACAAUGUUGGUUUGGAACCUUCGCAUUUUUCCAUCGUUGUUCUGCUUCUUUAAUUCUUUUCACACUUUGUAAAAAUAGAAAUUUCUCUUUAUCUUAUAUUUUUGGUCAUUUGUAGGUUGUGACUGAUGAGAAUAAUUAGAAAACUUAGGGCUUUUGUUUCUUCGAUGUUGCAUUUAGUACUUAAUUUUCUAGUUGUUAUGCUCAUAAGACUAUUUUACUUAUUGUGUUUGUUAUGCAUCUUUAUUAUUCAAUAAUAGAAGUUAAUCAAUAAGAUGAUGGGAUGGUAAUCUAGAAAUUUGACCUUUUUUUUCCUAUGAUCGUAAGCGAUCUGGAAAACUUAAGGUAGAGUCUCAAGUAUGUUACUUAUGUAAUUUUGGUGGUUCUUCAUUCUAUGAAUUAUUGCAGGGUCUUGACCAAUUGUCGUUAAUUAUAUUUAGUUAUGGUUGCAACUUAUCAUUUGUUUGUGAUUAACUUUUGUCCUAUUCUUGGUAGCCUUGAAAGUGAGCCUUUCCUUUUGUAUCAGUUUGAAGUUUUAUUACUCAUGUCUCUUUCAUUCUCUAAGCUUAUGCAAGUACUUUGUAAUUGAGACAAGUCAAUAAAAUCUCAUUAGUUAUAAAAAUUUAACAUGGGCUUAUUUUUUAUUAAUAAAAAGAAUAAAAUAAUUAUAAAAAUAAUAAUUUAAAAUAAAUAAAACAAUAAAAGACACACUGAACCAACUUAAUAAAUUAUUUAUUUGUAGGACUGUGACUAUGAGUAGCUAAUUGAAUAAUUUGUCUAUUAUUAGGCUAAGACCUCUUUACCUUAAUAUUAGGUAAGGGAACCUUUGCUUGAAAUCUUUCACCAAAUAAAAAGCAAAGCUUUGCUUAAAAUCCAUAAAUAGUGCUAUUAAGUGGGAAUGAUUUGUUUGUGUUCUUUCUAUAAGCUGGAGUCGGCUUGCACUUUUGCUUUCAUCUGUGAUUUGUCUUCUUCUUACUUUUUGUUUUAUUUGUUUUCAUGCAAUGAUUAUACAUGGGUAAUGAUGGUUCUAUUCUUUGGUAAAGGUAAUACUUUUAAAACUUUUAGAAACAUUAUAUGCAUAAAUAAGGGUCAAAAUUAUCUUACCUUUUUUGUUAGGUUUGACAUAAUUUGUUUCAUUUUCUUUAUUCAUUCUUCAAUAUACUCUUAUGUUGAAAAAUUAGUGAUAUUUUGUUCCUGAGCAUUAAAUCCAUUUUUUAUUUUUUGAUAUUCUGUUUAUUUUAAUAAUAUGGAAGGAGGCUUCUUUUAAAUGCAUUCUAUGUUUUCAUUUUGAGAUAAUUGUAUAGGUUCCAUUUUUCCAUAUGUUUAUGAACAAGAAAAAAUUGAAGGUUACAAAAUGGAAUAUACUGAAUUUAUUCUGAUUGCUUUGCUUCUAUUAUAUGUCAUCAUGAUGUUUUCUUGGACUCUAUAGUUGGGUUUAAUAGUGAAUUGCACAUUGUGUUCAAACGUCACGACCCAAAUUUCGGGCCAAGACCGAUGCGUGGGCCCAAUGGACGUAGUCCACUGAGCCCAAGCAAGCCUAUUAAUCUGACGUGUUCAUCAUUCCAUCAUAAACUGCUAAGUUUUAUUUCAUAACUUAAAAUCAAAAUAAAAUUAAAUAUUUGCCACCUCAUACUGGCAUACCAAACAAGUAUAUAUGCAUUGUCUACAACAUGUAUCUUAAUAAUCUACAUUAGGUUUAUCUAUACACAACAAAAGAGACUCGAUGUCCAGCAGAGAAACUCGACGAAUGUACAGCUACUGAAUGUCGAGGCACCUACCAAAAGAUAGAUACAAGUCUACAAAGACAUCGUGUCCUAGUUACAGGCUACUUCGUGAUCUAAAAACAUGAAGUUGAAAACGGCGACUAUAAACCCAAUGAGUGAACAAGAAAGGGAACAAGCAUACCAUAAGGAAUGUUUAACGAAAUCAUGAUGCACUCUUUUUCAAAACAAUGCAAUUUGUUUUUGAUCUUAUUAAACCCCUCAUGUAAACCCCAAAUGAGAAAAAAAUCACUUAUUGAAAAAAGUCCAUGCUCAACAAAGGAUUUGGAGAAUGAAAACCUUAAUAACAUUCAUGCGAAUCAAGUCAAUAAAUGGCGGGUCCUCGCUGUAGCGGAAAAGCAUUCUCGCUGCAGCGGAAAAGCAUUCUACGCUGCAGCGAGAAUGAAUUUUUGCUGUAGUGACACUUGAUUUCAAUUAUCAACUAACCGAGGGUUUCUUGACUAGCCGAGGGUUUCUCACUAAACCUCCUCAUAUUAAGCUUAAUUCACUUAUUCCUUAAUGUUGGAAAGUUAUACUCAAAUAUGGUAGCAAAGAAAUGGAAACUAGGGUAACAAUUGAUCAAAAUGAGGUGAAAAACAGAAAGUUUUUCGCUGCAGCAAGAUUCAAUCUCGUUGUAGCGACAUUUUGGUCAUAAAACAGAAAGUUUCUCACUGCAACGAGAAGCUACUGUACCUUCUUGCUGUAGCGAAAAUGGAUUCUCGCUGCAACGAGUUUUUAGCCAGCCUACCCUUUCAAAACCUGAGAGUUUCUCGCUGCAGCGAGAAUCAGAACAUCAAGAAAAAGGUUCCUUUUUCCCUUAAAACAAAACCAUCUUGCUAAAUAACAAAAGCAACAUGUAACACAUGCAAACUCCCAAAUUUGAACAAAUCAAAUGCUCACAUUUUUGCAUUUACAACCAUAUACCAUAUAUGUAUAUAUAUAUAUAUAUAUAUANNNNNNNNNNNNNNNNNNNNNNNNNNNNNNNNNNNNNNNNNNNNNNNNNNNNNNNNNNNNNNNNNNNNNNNNNNNNNNNNNNNNNNNNNNNNNNNNNNNNNNNNNNNNNNNNNNNNNNNNNNNNNNNNNNNNNNNNNNNNNNNNNNNNNNNNNNNNNNNNNNNNNNNNNNNNNNNNNNNNNNNNNNNNNNNNNNNNNNNNNNNNNNNNNNNNNNNNNNNNNNNNNNNNNNNNNNNNNNNNNNNNNNNNNNNNNNNNNNNNNNNNNNNNNNNNNNNNNNNNNNNNNNNNNNNNNNNNNNNNNNNNNNNNNNNNNNNNNNNNNNNNNNNNNNNNNNNNNNNNNNNNNNNNNNNNNNNNNNNNNNNNNNNNNNNNNNNNNNNNNNNNNNNNNNNNNNNNNNNNNNNNNNNNNNNNNNNNNNNNNNNNNNNNNNNNNNNNNNNNNNNNNNNNNNNNNAACCUACCAUCACAUUAACAUCACCAUUAUGUUAAUUCACAUACUAUAAACCCUAAAAGCUAUCUCUUAACUAGCUUUCAAUUGUCACUUUAAAUGGCUAUCUAUGUUCACUAUCAUAAUCACUAUAAAAUGAAUGAAAAUACUCAACAAUAAAACAGCUCAUAAUCCCAAUUACUAGCCAUUAUUCACAACUAAAAAUCAAGCUUAGCUCAUCACUUACCCUAGGGCUCCUUUGUAGUCAAAUUCUCUUCCAAUAGCUUCCAAAUCAAUGGGGUAAUUCUCUCUUUCUCUCUCUAGAAUGCCCAACUAGUGAGAGAAAGUAUGAAAAUAAGAUUUAUCAAGGGUUUUGACGUGAGAGAGUGAAAGAAUACAAGGGUUCUAGUCAAAAGGGCUCAAAGGUAUGAAAACUAGAGCUAGAGAGAGAAAAUCAUGCAAGUUCCAUAUCAAGCUUCCAUAGAGGUUGGAAGUAACGUGAGAUGGAAGAAGAAGAAGAAGACAAGGUGCUGGAACUUCAAGAAGCUGCUGGAAGGAGAAGAUAUUUAUAACCCAAGCUGCUGGAACUUCAAGAAGCUGCUGAAAGGAGAAGAUAUUUAUAACCCAAGCUUAUCUAUUCCCUUAAAAUUACCAAAUUGCCCCUCCACAAAUUAGCUUAAUCUCCUUUAAUCUUCUAUGCAAUCUUUUUGCUCUUUUGACACUAGGACAAGGUCCAUAAUGGUCUAGACAUGCUCGGGUUCAUGAAAACUUAAAAUUCUAACCUGAGGCGAAAAAUGACCAUUUUUCCCCUUUUGUGAAAAUCAUCAAAAUUUUUGUUUCCUUGUCAUUUUACCCCUAAUUUCACCAUCCAUUUAUGCCUUAGGCCUACUUAGGCUAUAAUAUUGUUUAAAAAUCUUACUUUUAUGGGCUAACUAAGGAAAUAAUGAAAUUACCCCUGAUUAGGGAUAUCGCAUAUACUUCCCUUUACGAGUCUAUAAAGGUCAAGGUCUCACAUUCUCCCCCACUUAAAGAAAUUCGAUCUCCAAAUUUAAAUUAAACUAUAAGGUGACUUACCUCUAAGUAUCAAAGAGAUGGGGAUACUUUGUCUGCAUUUCCUCUUCGGCUUCCCACGUUACCUCUUCACUAGUAUGGUUUUGCCACAACACUUUCACUGAUGCUACUUCCUUUGAACGGAGCUUUUUGACUUGCCGAUCGAGGAUAGCUAUCCGUUGCUCCUCAUAGGUCAAAUCAUCUUUUAGUUGGAUGGUCUCAUACCGUAUUCCAUGAGAGGGAUCCGAGUUGUACUUCCUAAGCAUGGACACAUGAAACACGAGGUGAAUAUUCGAGAGGUCUGGUGGUAGCACCAAACGAUAAGCCACCGCUCUAACCCUUUCUAAGAUCUCGAAGGGUCUUAUAUAUCGAGGGCUUAAUUUUCCUUUCUUGCCAAACCUCAUUACCCCUUUAGUUGGUGAGACCUUCAGGAAUACGUGAUCUCCCACUUGAAACUCUAAAGCUCUCCGUCUAUUAUCAGCAUAUGACUUCUGUCUACUUUAUGCUAACAAGAUCCUCUGUCGAAUCAUAUGUAUCUUUUCAAUGGCAUCCUGCACCAACUCAAGCCCCAAAAGUUUCUUUUCUCCCACCUCUAGCCAUCCAAUAAGUGACCUACAUCUCCAUCCAUAUAAUGCCUUAAAUGGUGCCAUUUGGAUGCUAGUUUAGAAACUAUUAUUGUAGGUAAAUUCCACUAAGGGUAGAUAUUGAUCCCACCUGACCCCAAGGUCUAUCACACAGGCCCUCAACAUAUCUUUCAAUGUCUGUAUCGUCCGUUCAGACUAUCCAUCAGUCUGAGAGUGGAAAGCUGUGCUGAAGUCUAACUUAGUGCCCAAUGCUCCCUGCAACUUUCCCCAAAACCUACUGGUGGACUGAGUUCCUCUGUUUGAUACUAUAGAAAUGGGGAUACCAUGCAACCGUACUAUCUCAUCCAUAAAAACUCGAGCGUACUGGGUAGCCCCGUAAAUAGUCUUAACUAGAAGAAAAUAGGCUAACUUCGUUAAUCGAUCUACUAUGAUCUAAAUCGAGUCGUAGCCCCUACUAGCUCGAGGUAAACCCGUUACAAAAUCCAUGGCAAUAUGCUCCCACUUCCAUUUGGGCACUAGUAAUGGCUAUAAUAGCCCUGCAAGCCUCUGAUGCUCGGUUUUAACCUGCUGACAAACUAGGCAUUUGGAAACGAACUCAGCUACAUCUCUUUUGAGUCUUUCCCACCAAUACACCUCAUUCAAAUCUUGAUACAUCUUUGUAGCCCCUAGAUGUACCACAUAGGCUGCCAUGUGAGCUUCCUCUAAUAUUUCUCUCCUCAACCCAUCACCAUCAGGCACAUAAAGUUUGGUUCCAUACCUCAACACUCUAUUUAUGCCUUUGGUAAACGUCUUCCCUUUCCUUCCUUGAGGGUCCUCUAAGGCCUUAGCUACGAAAUCAUCUUUACCUUAUGCUUCUUUAAUCCUGUCCAUUAAGAUAGGUCGCACUCUAAAAUGUGCUAGCAAUGCAUUUGCCUCUGAAACAUCUAAAUGCACUCUCAUGUCUCCCAAGCUAUGAAUCUCCCUAAUCAAGAACCUUCUAUCUAUGGAGAUAUGUGCCAGACUUCCCAUCGAUUUUCGACUCAAGGCAUCAGCCACUACAUUUGCCUUACCGAGAUGGUAGAGAAUAGUACAAUCAUAAUCCUUUAGUAACUCCAUCCACCUACGUUGCCGCAAGUUAAGAUCCCUCUGCUGAAAUGUAUACUUUAGGCUUUUGUGGUCUGUAUAUAUCUCACAAGUCUCACCAUACAAGUAAUGCCUCCAAAUCUUUAAGGCAAACACGAUCUCUACCAUUUCCAAAUCGUGUGCGGGGUAAUUCUACUCAUGCCUUUUAAGUUGCCUUGAUGCAUAUGCAAUUACCUUCCCUUGCUGUAUCAAUACACACCCUAUAGCAACCCGUGAUGCAUCAAAGAAUACCGUAUAACCCCCUAUGCCUUACGGUAGGCUUAAUAUUGGAGCUGUGGUGAGACAUGCCUUAAGCUUCUCAAAGCUAUCCUCACAAGCAUCAGACCACUCAAAUUUUGUAUCCUUACGUGUCAGCUUAGUUAGAGGGGCAAUUAUUUUAGAGAAGUCCUUCACAAAACGACUAUAAUAGCUAGUCAAACCCAAAAAGCUUCUAAUCUCUAUAACUGAUGUUGGCCUUGGCCAUUUUUCCAUUGCCUAAACUUUCUUUGGAUCAACUUGUACCCCAUCCUUAGAUACCACAUGUCCCAAGAAUGCAACGCUUUCAAGCCAAAACUCACACUUAAAGAACUUGGCAUACAAUCGAUGUUCUCUCAAAAUUUAGAGCACUAUCUUAAGAUGCUGCUCAUGCUCCUCUCUACUCCUCGAGUAGAUCAAGAUAUCAUUAAUAAACACUACCAUGAAUUUGUCCAAAUAAGGCUUGAACACUCGGUUCAUCAAAUCUAUAAAGGUUGCAGGAGCAUUCGCGAGUCCAAAUGACAUCACUAAAAACUCAUAGUGCCCAUACCUUGUUCGAAAUGCGAUCUUUGGUACAUCUUCAUUUCGGAUCCUCAACUGAUGGUACCCAGAUCGUAAAUCUAUCUCAGAGAAACAUUGUGCUCCUUGUAGUUGAUUAAAUAAAUCAUCUAUCCUUGGAAGAUGAUACUUAUUCUUCACUAUCACUUUAUUAAGCUGUCGAUAAUCAAUACAUAGCCUAAGUGACCCGUCUUCCUUCUUCACAAAUAACACCGAUGCUCGCCAUGAGGAUACACUAGGAUGGAUAAAGCCUUUAUCCAGCAAAUCUUCUAAUUGAUCCUUAAGCUCUUUAUGAAAUGCCCCAUACUUUGAUAUGGUGAUAAAUAAAGUUGGUCGGAUGCGAAUUGAGAAAUAAUAAGGAACUUUGGGAACCAAAGAGACAAGAUAAAAUUUUUAGAAUAAAAUAAUAUUUUAUUAAUGAAAUAAUAUUAAAAUAUUAAUAUUUAGCCGGAUGUCGAAAUCAGUAAUGAAGAAGGAUCAUAUGGUUGAUUAAAUUAGGAGAGAAAAUGUCAAGCCUGACUCUGUAAAAUACUUGUCAUGACAUACAUGUGAUUGACUGAAUGUUUACAUACUAGGAAAGCCUCGAAAAAUUGAUAAAAGUUGGUACUGUACCUAAAGGUACAAUAAAGUUGAUUUAAGCCUCGAACUAGAUCAAAUAGAGAAUUUAAGAGGAAAUUAAGAAUUUUAAAGUCCCAGAAUGGUUUAAUAUGGUGAUUUGGAGUUCGAGGAUCAAUUUGGAGUCAAACCGAAAAUUUCACUAUCUAGCAGCAAAAUGGUAAUUUUGCUACUCAAGGAUAAAAUGGGGAAUUUUUUUCAAAGAUUUUGAUCAUAUUUGACUUAUCGGAGUGUGAUUUGAGGUUAAGAAGUGAAAAAAUGUAACUUCAGUAUUUUUCGGAGUAUAGGGGUAAAAUGGUAAUUUUACCACCCUAGGGGCAAAACAGUAAUUUUUCACCACCAGAACACUUGUCCAGCAUAUGGAUUUUAUCCAAUUUUAUCAUGGAUAAUUGAAGGAAUUUAUAUGGUGGAGAGAGAAAGCUUAAUAGUUAAGAAAUAAAAAUGGACCAAUGAAAUGGUGACACCUGGCAUAUUUAUAACCAUUAAAUAUGUAGCUUUAAAAUUAAUACAAAAUCAGCCCAUUUCUCAUUGAUAUGGCCAGCCAAAGAAGAACAAAGGAGGAAAGGAAAAAAAAACAAGAACCCUAGGUGGGAAAAUUGAAGAAAAAGUGUGGGAUUUCAAGGGAUUAAGUUAAUAAAGGUAAAAUUUCUUGAUUUUGACUUGUGAUUUACACUACCCAUGCUUUCUUUUUCAUUUUCCAUGGUUAGAUUUCAUGUUUUCAUGGUGAAUUCAUGGUUGGGUGGAAUGAGUAUGGAGAGAGAAUGAAGUUGGAUUGAUUUGAUUCUAAGUUAUGUUAGUGUUUUUAGUUAGUUUAUCAUGUCUAGAAACAAACCAACAAGAAAAAUUCAUUUUCUCCCAUUAUCUAUCAUUGGCCGAAUUUUCUAGGGAGGAUAUUGUGGCUGAAAUUGAUGAUAUUUCAUGAUAUUUUGGUGAUAUUUGAUAUUUGGUGAGGCUAGAAUUAAAUGGGAAAUUUUGGUGUGAAAAUCUGAAUUUUUGCUUAACGUAUAGACAUGUGUGAUUAUUGAUCCAAGACUGAUAAAUUGAAUCUCAUUCACAGUCACUGAGGUAAUUUAGGUAUAACUGGAGUGUAGAAAGUGAGAAGAAUUGAUUUGGAGUUAAAUUGGAGAUUUUAACCGAUUAGACCGAGUAUAGUGUGACUUAGGUCGAAUAUCACAUUUAAGUGAUUAAUCGAACAUUUUGCAUCCCAUCGCAUGCAUUGAUUUAGAUUUAGAGAGCCUGAAAUAGUUUAUGAUAAAUUGACACAAUUUAUUGAAAUUCAUGUCACGUAUGAUGUAUAGGUGGUGAGCCCUCUAACAAGGGUAAAGAGAUUGUGCCCAAAGACCGGGAAUAGGAAUAUAUCGAACUCCUAGUACAAUGAGUAACCUUACUAUCGUCUUAAUUAUCUAGAGUGGUUUUUAUUCGAUUUUGUGGAUUUUAUGGAAAAUGAGUUUAAAUGGUAAAUCUUUUUGUUUUACAAACAAAACGUGUUUAAAUAAAAUGAUUUUAUAAAUUGUCUUGAAAUUGAAUGAUGACUUUGAAAAUAGAGUAACUGGAUACCGCUUGAGGUGUUGUAAAUUCAUGGUUUGAAAUGACUGGCUUAUGAUAAUAUUUUCAUGAAUUACUGAAUUGGUAUUUGUGUUGAAAUAUAUGAACUGUGUAUUUAGCCUUGAAAGGCUGUGAAUUACAAUAAUUGCCAUAUCAUGUUAUUGAAUUUUUUUUAUUGGUGGGAUAAUGAUGAGCUUACUACAGUGGGCGGGUUUCCGUGGACCAGCCUAUUAGAGGGGCACAGUAAACCCCAUUAUAUCUUACCUCAGUAUGAAAGGCGCAGGUGGAUAACUUCUUAGGGUAAUACUUUUAGAGUUCACUUCACGCCAAACCACCAUGUGAGGGUGAACUCAGCCAACGCCAAGGAACGACUAUGUUUUCAAAAUAAAAACAUAAUUUAUGCGUACAUGACUUUUUAACAGCCUUGGUGGACUCGGUUGGGAUAGCCCUCGAUCAAGGCAUCCUUGAUAACUGAGUAUGAGAAUGAUAUUUGGCACGAGCCAAGCUUUUC